GCAAGUCGAACGAGGCCCUCUUCCUUCGGGAGGAGGUGUCCUAGUGGCGAACGGGUGAGUAACACGUUGGUGACCUACCCCGAAGAGGGGGACAACCCCGGGAAACUGGGGCUAAUACCCUAUGUGAUCCUAAGGAUUAGAUGCCUAAGAAUGAAAUGGAUGCUUGCAUUCGCUUCGGGAGGGGCCUGCGGCCUAUCAGCUAGUUGGUGAGGUAAUGGCUCACCAAGGCGACGACGGGUAGGGGGCCUGAGAGGGUGGUCCCCCACACUGGAACUGAAACACGGACCAGACACCUACGGGUGGCAGCAGUAGGGAAUAUUGCACAAUGGGCGCAAGCCUGAUGCAGCAACGCCGCGUGCGCGAUGAAGGCCUUAGGGUUGUAAAGCGCUUUUCUGGGGGAAGAGAAAGGACGGUACCCCAGGAAUAAGUCUCGGCUAACUACGUGCCAGCAGCCGCGGUAAAACGUAGGAGGCGAGCGUUAUCCGGAUUUACUGGGCGUAAAGCGCGUGCAGGCGGUUUGGUAAGUCGGACGUGAAAGCUCCCGGCUCAACUGGGAGAGGCCGUUCGAAACUGCCAGACUAGAGGGCAGCAGAGGGAGGUGGAAUUCCGGGUGUAG
Molecule: ribosomal RNA, 616 nt
Filed under: uncultured bacterium
Lineage: Bacteria
Description: bacterial SSU rRNA
Rfam family: Bacterial small subunit ribosomal RNA
Source: RNAcentral